Triticum urartu is the source of this 760-nucleotide non-coding RNA. The record is from RefSeq and is a predicted model, not a curated record. NCBI's taxonomy places the organism in Eukaryota, Viridiplantae, Streptophyta, Magnoliopsida, Poales, Poaceae.
GGGUGGCAGGGAUGCACAAAUUUCUCAAUCUGCAAUCAAUUUCAUCAAGCAGUCAAUUGGGAUGGACAGUACAGUUGCUCAUAAUCUGAAGGCGGCUGAAGGUUUUAUAAGUAGAGAUAUUUCAGAGGAUUCGAGUAAAAUUGAAAAGGAUUGUUUUCAAAUUGUAUUCGUCAUCUUUGUCAUGGGCUAUUUGAUAGCACCGUGUACCAAGCAUGACACCAUGACCAUUGAUUUCUGGGGUGCUCUGGCCAAUCCAGAAUUGAUCCCGCAGUUCAAUUGGUGUGAGUAUGCUAUGCAGAAAUUGAUGUCAGCUGUUGUGAAGUUGCAGAAUGAUUAUCAAAGCAAAGCAGCAACGGUUCAUAUGUUUGCGUGCCACCUUUUUUUCCAGCUUUUCUUGCUGGACAACAUUGACCUUGGAUUGUUCAAUAUGCCGCCAUCUGAAUUGCCCCGCGUGCAGUGCUUCGAAUAGAAAAGGUUUCGGAAGAUGAUCAUAAUGGCUUAUGGCAUGAAGCACGGGAAGUGGGGUUAUGUCCCUGCAGGGGUGCGGCCUGCGGAGCUAGUUAUGUACACGCGGCCAGACACGACGUGCCAAGGAUGCAUUGACUACCAUGUAUCAUCAGGUUCAGUGAAGCAAUCAGUUCCAAGGGUGCCUAAUAGAGUGGACCAAUGGACUUCGGAUUUGGGUGUGCAUGCAACGACGGCACCAGAUGACUAUUUGGGUGAUGUGAGGUCGGCAUAUCAUUCACGUGAGCCAAGGGAU